AUACGGAGGGUGCGAGCGUUAAUCGGAAUUACUGGGCGUAAAGCGCUCGUAGGCGGCUUGUUAAGUCGGAUGUGAAAUCCCCGGGCUCAACCUGGGAACUGCAUUCGAUACUGGCAAGCUAGAGUAUAGUAGAGGCAAGUGGAAUUCCGGGUGUAGCGGUGAAAUGCGUAGAUAUCCGGAGGAACAUCAGUGGCGAAGGCGACUUGCUGGACUAAUACUGACGCUGAGGAGCGAAAGCGUGGGGAGCAAACGGGAUUAGAUACCCCAGUAGUCC
This 274-nucleotide ribosomal RNA is filed under the name uncultured bacterium. Its description in RNAcentral is "partial 16S ribosomal RNA". It matches the Rfam family "Bacterial small subunit ribosomal RNA", at positions 523 to 796 of the family's 1533-position model. The record is from RNAcentral.